RNAcentral lists this long non-coding RNA (410 nucleotides) under Phoenix dactylifera (date palm). Its description in RNAcentral is "long non-coding RNA (PDAC_LNC001529)". Lineage: Eukaryota; Viridiplantae; Streptophyta; Magnoliopsida; Arecales; Arecaceae. The record is from RNAcentral.
UUGAAAGGAUAAUCUUCAAUGGUUAUUUGAAUCUGCCUCUUUAGGAUAUUCUAGAUAUUGCUAUCCUCUGCAAUUUGGAAUCCAUGUUGUAAUGCAGUGCCAUGGUGAUGAAGCUUUGAAACUUAUGAUGCAAAGGAUGUCAGUAUGGUGCAAACCAGCUUGUCCAAUUGUGUUCGCAUGAAAAAAGAAAAGGUGGGGGCCAUGGAGUCUAGUCAAAUGGGUUUAAAUAUUCAAACUGGAAAGCUGUUCCACUGAAUCUUAUGAAUACCUCUUUUUUGUUUUUUUGUCCCAAAGAUAUCUAAGGGGAAAGUAAAAACAAAAUACCUAAGUUGACUAGGGAUACGGCCCAAUCCAGGUUAACCAUACUCACAAGAUCUCAAAUCUAUUUUGACCACAAGAAAUUGGUCCCU